Molecule: ribosomal RNA, 253 nt
Filed under: uncultured bacterium
Lineage: Bacteria
Description: partial 16S ribosomal RNA
Rfam family: Bacterial small subunit ribosomal RNA
Source: RNAcentral
UACGAAGGGGGCUAGCGUUGUUCGGAAUCACUGGGCUUAAAGGGCGCGUAGGCGGUCCGACAAGUCAGGGGUGAAAUCCUGCAGCUUAACUGCAGAAGUGCCUUUGAUACUGUCGGUCUGGAGGGAGAUAGGGGUGUGCGGAACUCACAGUGGAGCGGUGAAAUGCGUUGAUAUUGUGAGGAACGCCGGAGGCGAAAGCGGCGCACUGGAUCUCUUCUGACGCUGAGGCGCGAAAGCUAGGGGAGCAAACGGG